AUGCAAGUCGAACGAGCGAGAGAGAGCUUGCUUUCUCGAGCGAGUGGCGAACGGGUGAGUAACGCGUGAGGAACCUGCCUCAAAGAGGGGGACAACAGUUGGAAACGACUGCUAAUACCGCAUAAGCCCACGGGUCGGCAUCGACCAGAGGGAAAAGGAGCAAUCCGCUUUGAGAUGGCCUCGCGUCCGAUUAGCUAGUUGGUGAGGUAAUGGCCCACCAAGGCGACGAUCGGUAGCCGGACUGAGAGGUUGAACGGCCACAUUGGGACUGAGACACGGCCCAGACUCCUACGGGAGGCAGCAGUGGGGAAUAUUGCACAAUGGGGGAAACCCUGAUGCAGCGACGCCGCGUGGAGGAAGAAGGUCUUCGGAUUGUAAACUCCUGUUGUUGAGGAAGAUAAUGACGGUACUCAACAAGGAAGUGACGGCUAACUACGUGCCAGCAGCCGCGGUAAAACGUAGGUCACAAGCGUUGUCCGGAAUUACUGGGUGUAAAGGGAGCGCAGGCGGGAAGACAAGUUGGAAGUGAAAUCUAUGGGCUCAACCCAUAAACUGCUUUCAAAACUGUUUUUCUUGAGUAGUGCAGAGGUAGGCGGAAUUCCCGGUGUAGCGGUGGAAUGCGUAGAUAUCGGGAGGAACACCAGUGGCGAAGGCGGCCUACUGGGCACCAGCUGACGCUGAGGCUCGAAAGUGUGGGUAGCAAACAGGAUUAGAUACCCUGGUAGUCCACACCGUAAACGAUGAUUACUAGGUGUUGGAGGAUUGACCCCUUCAGUGCCGCAGUUAACACAAUAAGUAAUCCACCUGGGGAGUACGACCGCA
RNAcentral lists this ribosomal RNA (822 nucleotides) under uncultured bacterium. Its description in RNAcentral is "bacterial SSU rRNA". It matches the Rfam family "Bacterial small subunit ribosomal RNA", at positions 55 to 890 of the family's 1533-position model. The record is from RNAcentral.